RNAcentral lists this ribosomal RNA (254 nucleotides) under uncultured bacterium. RNAcentral describes it as "partial 16S ribosomal RNA". It matches the Rfam family "Bacterial small subunit ribosomal RNA", at positions 524 to 776 of the family's 1533-position model. The record is from RNAcentral.
CACGGGGGGAGCAAGCGUUGUUCGGAUUUACUGGGCGUAAAGGGCGCGUAGGCGGCCAGCGCAAGUCAGUUGUGAAAUCUCCGGGCUUAACUCGGAACGGUCAACUGAUACUGCGCGGCUAGAGUGCAGAAGGGGCAACUGGAAUUCUCGGUGUAGCGGUGAAAUGCGUAGAUAUCGAGAGGAACACCUGCGGCGAAGGCGGGUUGCUGGGCUGACACUGACGCUGAUGCGCGAAAGCGUGGGGAGCGAACAGG